This 1752-nucleotide ribosomal RNA is filed under the name Triticum aestivum (bread wheat). RNAcentral's name for it is "partial small subunit ribosomal RNA". Lineage: Eukaryota; Viridiplantae; Streptophyta; Magnoliopsida; Poales; Poaceae. The record is from RNAcentral.
AUGCUGCAGACUAAGAGAGCUGCCGAUGAUGAUCUCACAGAAAGCUCGAAAAAGAAUGGAAGAGUCUAUACUGGUGGAGGAGAGACACUUGAUGUGUUGAUUUCAGGGGAUUUGCAUCCAGAUGUCAAUUCGGAAGAGCCGAUUGACAGCUUUAGUGACUCUGGCCAAAGUGUUUGGAGUGAGCUCAGUAAAGAAGCCACUUCAAAAAUUUCUAGAAAUGUUGUCUCCCUCGCUUUGUCUGAUGGACAUACGGUGUUGUUUGCAUGCUCAGGCAUAGCCUUGCGAAGCGGGCGGUAUGUGACAAGCUUUCUGACUUCAGCAAGUUUGGUUAGAGCUUUCAAUGAUAAUAACAGAGAAGGCCAUGAUACCUUGAAUAUCGAAGUGCGUCGCAACGGUGAGGUUGCCAAAGGGAUCUUGAAAAGCUAUGAUUCGGAUCAGGGGAUUGUUGUUGUCCAAGUACUGUUUGUCACUCUUGGUGUUCAUCCAGUGGAUCUCAGUCCUCAGGUGGAAUUUCUUCCCUGUAGGAAGGUAGUAGCUGUCACACGUGCCGAUUCUGGCACAUUAAUGGUCGCAAGUGGGAUACUUGCUGUUGAGUCAAGCGGAUCUGAAGAUGGCAAACAGCUUAUGUUCUCCACUUGUAAAAUCUCUGAGGCUUGGGAAGGUGGGUCGCUUUUUGACUAUGAUGGGAACUUUGUUGGCUUGAACCUUUCUUUGGUUGGGGAAAGAAUUUAUUUCAUGCCAAGGAGUAUAAUUAUCGAACGUUUGGAGGAACUUCUGCCAAAAAAGGAAGCUAAGACGUUCAGGAAUGUAGAAAUACAGAGAGAGGUACAGCCCUGGCCCUAUUGCACCUAUCCAAGCGACAGAUCUGGGGAUCUAGACUCCUUGGGUUAUCCAAAGCCAUCAUCGACUGUUGUCAGUGAGGGCUUGGUUUUGGUUAAUACCUUCGAAGAGACUUUUGGUGAAGUAUAUGAUUCUGGUAAAGGUGUAAUGGGUUCUCAUAGUUUACCUCGACGAGUUGUCUCACUUGCUUCAUUCAGCGGAGAAAGGAGGUUUUUCGUGUGCACAGGCUUAUUUAUUGACUGGAACGGAUGCACCCCCAUUCUGACUUCAGCGAGUUUGGUUAGGGAUCCUAAAGAUGAAAACAAGAUUGCUGAAAAGUUGAAGAUUGAAGUUUUGCUUCCAAACAAAGAGCGCAAAGAAGGGAAAUUGCAACAUUAUAAUUUAUACUAUAAUGUUGCUCUCAUCGUUGUCGAGGAUUACCGUUGUCUUCGUCCAGCUAGAAUUCAUGAAGAUUGGUGGAAUCCUUUUACUCUGGAAGAUCCCAAUGUAGUAGCUGUGGGGCGCUGCUUCAAAUCUGGCAGGUUAAUGGCUACACAUGGAAGACGAACUGGCUGGUCAGGCAUGCUUGAUUACAGAGAUCUUAGGUACUCCAGUUGUAAGAUUACUAAGGCUGGGAUUGGUGGUCCUCUGCUUGACUUUAAUGGGAGAUUUAUUGGCAUGAACUUCUAUGAUAAGAAAAUAGGAACCCCAUUCAUAUUUAGGGACUGUAUUAUUCGAGUGCUGGCAAAUUUUGUGGAAAAAAGGACUUUUGAUGAAGUUGGCAGUGAUGGACCAAUCAGGUGGCCUGUGCCCAUACCGUGCUGGCGCCAUCCGGACGAUGAGCUCAAAGAUUCGCUCCCACCUGGCCAUGGGGAAAAAUCUGGGACGUUCGGAUUCUCAUAUGUGGAUGGAGUUAGAGUCGAUAACCAUUAG